RNAcentral lists this long non-coding RNA (590 nucleotides) under Mus caroli (Ryukyu mouse). RNAcentral describes it as "lncRNA (MGP_CAROLIEiJ_G0002817.1)". Lineage: Eukaryota; Metazoa; Chordata; Mammalia; Rodentia; Muridae. The record is from RNAcentral.
AACACUGGACUUAGUGGGGGAACAUUCAAACCACAGCACCAGUGGAACAGUGAUUUCAACAGAGUUGGUGAGAUUCAGGCAGGGAUGUCAAAACAAGGCCCUUUGUACACAUGUGUGAUCUUUAAGUCAUGGGUUGGGAGACCUGAUGGAAAGGAAGAGUUGGAAGUUGCAAAAGCCAGGUCACAAAACAUGAAGAACUGAGAAUCCAUGCAGGCGUGGGAAGCCUCUGGCAUUUUUACUAGACCAUCCAGGAGGCUACUGGAGAGGUCCAGGAUCUGCUGUUUCAAGUGUCUGCCUCAGCGAAGUCAUGCUUCCUUUUGGGGUAUUAUACUCGGUUGUCUGUUGCCAUGGAAGUGAGGGCUGGCUGAUUCACACAGGAGGGGGGUGGGGCCCACUAGCAAGCCCUCAAGCACACUGGAUGACUUCAAUUACCUAAAUCCCUGCAGCUUCUCAGAAGACAUCUACAUGGUUUUUUAUGACAUAUGAAUACCUUUGACUUUGAUUUAGAAAUCAAGAUGCAUUUUUAAAAAUCUGUGACCUGCAUGAAAGCAGUCUAUUGAUAAAGCACCAAGAAUAAACGGAACUUUGAA